Molecule: ribosomal RNA, 492 nt
Filed under: uncultured bacterium
Lineage: Bacteria
Description: bacterial SSU rRNA
Rfam family: Bacterial small subunit ribosomal RNA
Source: RNAcentral
AAAUGAAUAGACGGGGGCCCGCACAAGCGGUGGAGUAUGUGGUUUAAUUCGACGCAACGCGAAGAACCUUACCAGGGCUCAAACUGCAGGGUAAACCCUCCGAAAGGAGGGCUGCUUCGGCGAUCCUGUAGAGGUGCUGCAUGGCUGUCGUCAGCUCGUGUCGUGAGAUGUUGGGUUAAGUCCCGCAACGAGCGCAACCCUUGUCCUUAGUUACCAGCGCGUCAUGGCGGGGACUCUAAGGAGACUGCCGUCGCAAGACGGAGGAAGGUGGGGAUGAUGUCAAGUCCUCAUGGCCCUUAUGUCCUGGGCUACACACGUACUACAAUGGGAUGUACAACGAGUCGCGAGGCCGCGAGGUCAAGCUAAUCUCUCAAAGCAUCCCCCAGUUCAGAUUGCAGUCUGCAACCCGACUGCAUGAAGUCGGAAUCGCUAGUAAUCGCGGAUCAGCACGCCGCGGUGAAUACGUUCCCGGGCCUUGUACACACCGCCCGU